CGCUCGGAGGCCGCUGCUCGUGGGCCGCCCUCCUCCCGGCCUUGGUCGGUUGAAGGCCCGCCUCUCCUCAGGACCGGCCCAGCCUGCUGGCCGCCCCCACCCCCUGGCCCGUGGGGUUCUUCGCCUCCUGGGGCGGACACUGCGUCGCCUUCUCCUCCACGUGGAAAGCGCUGGCCGGCGAUGUCGGAGACCCACUCCGGAUCUCUUCAGCAGCUGGUUCAGUCACGACAAAAAGCAGCUAAAGCACUACAGGAAACAUUGUACAAGAUAGCAGUUCAAGAGGCAGAGGCUGCUCCACUCACCAUAGAUGCAGCUUGCCAGAUCUGUGAGGAGGAACAUCCUUCAGAGAGACGUCGUCAUUAAGAUGAUGCUGAUGAGGAAGCUUCCCCAGCAGAAAAUGUGGUGUCAUCUGACAAGAAACAGCCAGUGAAGAGGAGUCUCUAUACCCUCCUGCUCUCAUCUGAACAAUGCAAGCUUGGUCCCAGAAGAACUAGGCAGCCCAGCUGCUGAGUCUGUUCUGCCCGAUUCCUGUAGCUCAAGGACAGCUGAGUCCUGGACAUAGUACACUGAGUGAGGAAAUGGUUUAUUCUCGGGAUCUAGAAUCUUCUUCCUCCACUACCAAACAUUUGCCUUCCAAAAACAGCACAGCUCUAUCAGACAGUAUUCCAGCAAGGAAAGCCACUGGACUGGGGGACAGCUACGACUCCCUGCCCAAGCCCAAAGCCAGGCCCAUCAAAUCUCCCGUAGCUGGUCAGAAGCUACCUAUGACCAGAGUGACACUGAAGGAAGGAUCAGAGCUCUGAAGGAUGAACUGCAUCCAAGAAAACUUGUUGCUGAUCAGUUAAGGAACAGAGAAGCAGCAGCAGAGAGGUUGAGAGCCCAAGAAGCAAGUCAGAGCAGAGGAGUACACGGCCGAACGUACUAAACCUGCUACUUGUUUGCUGUGUGGCCUUGGGGAGGAAUUCCUCUUCCGGACUAUGUUACUGCAGUUUGCCUUCCUCCCUUCGAGUAGUUUGAGCCCUACUACAUCUCCAAGCUGAAUUAACAGUGGCAGAUGGUAAAGGUUUGUGCACAGUCUGUCCUUACACUUUCCCAAGUGAUUUUUCUCUGGCAGAGUUCAGCUUCUGGAGGGCAGUGGAUUCUUUUUACCUACUCCUGAAGAAUCUGCUGACCUUCCUUUCUAGCUGCUUUGUUGGCUUCCUGAAAUUGAGAUGAUGUGAAUGAAGAGACUGAGGAAAAACUUCAUAGUAUUUUUUAAAAAGAGACAAAAUGAUAACCGGAACUAAGAGGAAUACUUUAAAAAAAAAUAUCGGUCUUUUAACUGGCAAAAUUUGGUACUGAAAAAUUAUAUUUGAAGCUUCUAUUUUUACUUUAAGGAACUUUUUAAUCAACACACUUAUUUUAAAAGUUAUCACUGAUGUUAACCAAUUUUUUUUAAGAGAGUAGACAACUGUUCAACUUUGCUAGGCUUGGCCUGUGGGGAAUUAAUCUUUUUGCUGUUCUUGCAUGUGGUUUUUUUUUUUAAAUGUUUCAGAGUCUUACUUUGAAUGCAUUUUGAUAGUUGAAAUGAAAACCAACAUUGUCAGUUUAAAAGAAUAAAGCCAUCACCUAAUGCUA
Molecule: long non-coding RNA, 1617 nt
Organism: Ornithorhynchus anatinus (platypus)
Lineage: Eukaryota; Metazoa; Chordata; Mammalia; Monotremata; Ornithorhynchidae
Exons: 8
Source: RefSeq, a predicted model, not a curated record